UCGAGCGGUAUAUACUGGAACGAAACUUCGGUCUAGAGAAGGUAUAGAGAGCGGCGGACGGGUGAGUAACGCGUAGGCAACCUGCCCCAUACAGAGGGAUAGCCUCGGGAAACCGGGAUUAAAACCUCAUAACACGAGAGUUUCACAUGUUACACUCGUCAAAGAUUCAUCGGUAUGGGAUGGGCCUGCGUCUGAUUAGCUAGUUGGUGAGGUAACGGCUCACCAAGGCAACGAUCAGUAGCCGACCUGAGAGGGUAAUCGGCCACAUUGGAACUGAGACACGGUCCAAACUCCUACGGGAGGCAGCAGUGGGGAAUAUUGCACAAUGGGCGAAAGCCUGAUGCAGCAACGCCGCGUGAGCGAUGAAGGCCUUUGGGUCGUAAAGCUCUGUCCUUGGGGAAGAAAAAAAUGACGGUACCCUUGGAGGAAGCCCCGGCUAACUACGUGCCAGCAGCCGCGGUAAUACGUAGGGGGCAAGCGUUAUCCGGAAUUAUUGGGCGUAAAGAGUGCGUAGGUGGUCAUGUAAGCGCAGGGUGAAAGGCAAUAGCUCAACUAUUGUAAGCCUUGCGAACUGCAUGACUUGAGUGCAGGAGAGGAAAGUGGAAUUCCUAGUGUAGCGGUGAAAUGCGUAGAUAUUAGGAGGAACACCAGUGGCGAAGGCGACUUUCUGGACUGUAACUGACACUGAGGCACGAAAGCGUGGGGAGCAAACAGGAUUAGAUACCCUGGUAGUCCACGCCGUAAACGAUGAGCACUAGGUGUCGGGGUCGCAAGACUUCGGUGCCGCAGUUAACGCAUUAAGUGCUCCGCCUGGGGAGUACGCACGCAAGUGUGAAAC
This 838-nucleotide ribosomal RNA is filed under the name uncultured bacterium. RNAcentral's name for it is "bacterial SSU rRNA". It matches the Rfam family "Bacterial small subunit ribosomal RNA", at positions 62 to 900 of the family's 1533-position model. The record is from RNAcentral.